CUUAGUUGCUACCACGUAAUGGUGGGCACUCUAGGGAGACCGCCGGUGUUAAACCGGAGGAAGGUGGGGAUGACGUCAAGUCCUCAUGGCCCUUACGGGCUGGGCUACACACGUGCUACAAUGGCGGUGACACUGGGAUGCAAUGGGGCGACCCGGAGCCGAUCCUAAAAAACCGUCUCAGUUCGGAUUGCACUCUGCAACUCGAGUGCAUGAAGUUGGAAUCGCUAGUAAUCGCGGAUCAGCAUGCCGCGGUGAAUACGUUCCCGGGCCUUGUACACACCGCCCGUCACGCCAUGGGAGUUGGUUCUACCCGAAGACGGUGCGCUAACCGCAAGGAGGCAGCCGGCCACGGUAGGAUCAAUGACUGGGGCGAAGUCGUAACAAGGUAGCCGUAGGGGAACCUGCGGCUGGAUCACCUCCUUU
Molecule: ribosomal RNA, 423 nt
Filed under: Pseudohongiella sp.
Lineage: Bacteria; Pseudomonadati; Pseudomonadota; Gammaproteobacteria; Pseudomonadales; Pseudohongiellaceae
Description: bacterial SSU rRNA
Rfam family: Bacterial small subunit ribosomal RNA
Source: RNAcentral